GACCCAACAACAAUCUAACCAUGUACAACCUAGAACCUGAAGAUUGGGUCUUUGGAAAUUAUACCACAAAAAGACUGCUUUCGAAGUUUGUUGGAAGAGACCAUACCAAGUUCUACCCACAUGGCAGUAUAACUUAAGGGUCUCGAGGCUUAGAUCCACUUUUCUCAAUCUAACAGAACCCCUUCAGAAUCUUGGGACUGUAAACCCACUGAAGACCCCAAGGUAAAACUAACAAGAGUGGUUUUUCCUCAAAACCAGCCCAUGGCAGACAUCCAGCUGAUCACACUGUGUCCACAUAAGGCAAAUGCUGAGCUGUAAUCCAUCAAGCUGUUUCCGCAUAGAGAAAAGGCCAUAUGAGUACACAGCCAGAAGGUGUCUGCCUACAAGACAAAGAGGGAAAACUUACCUGAAACCAACCCUGAUGGAUAUUGGAUUUCUAAGCUCCAGAACUGUGAGAAAAUUAAUUUUAUGUGCUUUAAGACACUCAAUUUGUGGUAUUCUGUUAUGGCAGCCUAUGCUAGUCAAUUUGCAUUACCAUAAAGCAACACCUGAGAGUGGGUAAAUUAUAAAGAAAAGAAGUUGAAUCGGCUCAUGGUUCUGCAGGCAGUACAGAAGCAUAGUGCUGGCAAUUGCCCCUGGCAAGGGGCUCAGGAAGCUUACAAACAUGGCAGAAGGCAAAGGGAAGCCAACAUAUCACACGUAAGCUCAGGAAGCUUACAAACAUGGCAGAAGGCAAAGGGAAGCCAACAUAUCACGUGGCGAGAAAGACAGAGAAGCGGUAGGUCCCAGACUCUUUUAAACAACAAGACCUCAUGUGAACUGAGGGGAAACUCACUUUCACCAAGGAGAUGGUGCUAAACCACUAAUGAGGGAUCUGUCCCAUGAGCCAAUCACCUCCCACCAAGACCUACCUCCAAUUUUGGAAAUUAUAUUUCAACAUGAGAUUUGGAGGGGACAAACAUCCAAACCAUAUCCCAGCCUGAGCAGACUAACAGAGUCUCUGAAUAAAUCUAUGAAAAUGACUAGAGUAUUAUUUUGUUGAGUGAUUUCUUCUUGUAUUAGGAUUGGUCUCCUUGAAAAUAUUUUUCUCAUAUCUGUUAUAAUAAAAUACUGAGAAUCAUACUAAUUCUACUCUAAACUUAGAUAUUUAAGAGGGUUGGAUUUGACUGAUUGCUCUGAUGUUGCUAACAUAGUCAAAGACUUUUCAAAACUAAAGUGUAAUAUUAUGUCAUGCAACCUUGAGAAAAUUACAAUGGACAAAGCAGAACUAUAAUUCACAAUUCAUCUCCCAAACAAAUUGUGACACCCCUUCUUUCCAAUCCACUGAAAUAUGCCUAAAAUGAGAAAAAAGGGAAAUCUUAAAAACAACAACAACAACAACAAAGAAAAAACAGAAAACGGCAACAUUCAGGCAAAAAAGAAUGUGAGGACUAUGAUGCUGGCAUGCUAAACUUAAUUAAUAAUAAAUGAGAGAGUUUGGAAUGAU
This 1486-nucleotide long non-coding RNA is filed under the name Homo sapiens (human). Its description in RNAcentral is "HSALNT0315910". The record is from RNAcentral. Lineage: Eukaryota; Metazoa; Chordata; Mammalia; Primates; Hominidae.